RNAcentral lists this long non-coding RNA (805 nucleotides) under Lathyrus oleraceus (garden pea). RNAcentral's name for it is "Pisum sativum (pea) long non-coding RNA (PSAT_LNC032362)". The record is from RNAcentral. Lineage: Eukaryota; Viridiplantae; Streptophyta; Magnoliopsida; Fabales; Fabaceae.
AAGAUAAUUACAUUACCUUCGAGUUUGUCGCCGGAACCACGCCAAAAUCUCUCCGUGUAGGUAGUCUUGAGUUUCUUCUUUCCCUUUUAAUUUCGUCUUGAUAUAGAGCUCUUCUCGUUGAUCCUUUUUCCUUUGGUAAUUUCUUGAGACUCCGUAGAUCUUGGGUUUAAUUUCGUUUUGUGCGAAUUGGGUUUUCUGUUUUAGGGUUUCCGAUUUGGGUUUGUGGUUGGGAUUUUGUUGUUUUUGUGGCCGGAUCCGCAACCGCGAGCGUGAAUAAAGGGGAGUUGGUAUUUGAGAUUUAGGUUUUGAGAUGUUUUAGGGUUUCCGAUUUGGGUUUGUGGUUGGGAUUUUGUUGUUUUUGUGGCCGGAUCCGCAACCGCGAGCGUGAAUAAAGGGGAGUUGGUAUUUGAGAUUUAGGUUUUGAGUGGUGGUUCGCCGAAGAAGAAGGUGGCGCCGCCGCCGUUGGCCGGCAACCGCCAUCUUUUCCGGUAGGUUGAAGUCAGAGGUGUUUAGAAGUUUGCAGAGCUUGUGUUUGCUCUGAGAGGAAGAGAGAGAGAGUUGUUUUUUGACAAAUGAAGCGCUUAAGCGCUUUUCUGCUGGCUUUAGGCGAAAAGGGCUCCCUCAUAUGGAGAAACUUGUUUUCCAGCGGUGGGCCUCCAGUCCAGGCCCAAUUGAGCUUUUAUUUAUUUUAGCACCCCAUUUUCGGAUGGGUGACCCCUGUUCAUUUUAUUUUAUUUUUAUUUUAUUUUAUUAUUAUUUGUUGUAUAUUUCGAUUGGUUGGUUCUUUUUAGGCCCAUACUGAUUU